AUUAGCAUAAAAAUUUUUAACCUUAGUGUUUAAUAUUUAAUUUAUUUAAUAAAAAUAUUUAUUUUAAUAAGAUUUUAAGUAUGAUAAGUAGAAAAAAUUAUUAAAAAUAUAAAAUUGUAAGAUUUUUAGUUAUUAUUAAAUAAGAAUAAUUAAAUUUUAAUUCCUUUUGUAUUAGGAUUAAUUAAAAAUUUUUUAUCUAAAUAAAUAUUUCGAAAUAAAAGGAAAUAAAAUAUAGGGAUAGUUAAUAUUUAAAUAUUAUUAUGAACUAUAUUUUUGUAAUGAGAUAUUAUUCGGCUUUUAUAUAUCUAAUUUUCUAAUAAAUAAAUUUAAUUUAUAAAAUUUUUUAUAUUUUAAAAAUUUUAAUCUUUUUAAAAUAAAGUAAUUUUAAAUUGUGAAAGAGAUAAAUUUUUCAUAAAUCUAAAAUAUAUUAAAUGGGUUUCAAUUAAAACUAAUAUUAAUAUUAUUGAAUUUAAAAAAUUUUUUAAUUAAUUGAUUAUAAAAAUAAAUUUUAUGGCAUAUUUAGACAUUUUAUUAAAAUAUUUAUUUAAAUAUUUAAAAUACCCAAAUAAUUAUUAAAUAAGUAGAAUAUAAAUAUAUAACAUAAUUAAACUAUUUUAAUGUAGAUUUUAAUAACUAGGCAAUAAAUUUUUUUCACCUGUUUAACAAAAAACAUGUCUUAUAAAAUAAAAUUUUAGGUUUAAUCUGUUCAAUGAAUAAAAUUUUAAAUAAUUGCAGUAUUCUAACUGUGCAAAGGUAGCAUAAUCACUUGUCUUUUAAUUGGGGACUGGAAUGAAAGAUUGAAUGAAAAAAAAACUUUUUUGAUUCUAAAAAUUGAACUUAUUUAAUGAGUAAAAAGACUCAUAUUUAAAUAUUAGACGAUAAGACCCUAUAAAAUUUUAUAUUUAAGGAAAUAAUUUACAAUAAGAAGGUAUUUUAUAGUUUAUAAAUAUUUAAUUGGGGUGAUUUUAAAAUUUUAGAAACUUUUAAAUUUAAAAUUAAAAUUAAAUAAAAUUUUUAACUAAUGAGAGUUUUGAUAUUAAAAAAAUUACUUUAGGGAUAACAGCACGAUUUUUUUUGAUAGUUCAAAUUAAUAAAAAAGAUUGUGACCUCGAUGUUGAAUUAAAAUAAAAUAUUAUAGAAAAAAAUAAUUAUUUUAGUCUGUUCGACUAUUAAAAUUUUACAUGAUUUGAGUUCAAAUCGGCGUGAGCCAGAUUGGUUUCUAUCUUUAUUAUUAUUUUAUAAAGGUGUACGAAAGGAUAUUUAUAAAUUAAAUUAUUUUA
RNAcentral lists this ribosomal RNA (1280 nucleotides) under Ceratobaeus sp. MM-2013. Its description in RNAcentral is "16S ribosomal RNA". The record is from RNAcentral. Lineage: Eukaryota; Metazoa; Arthropoda; Insecta; Hymenoptera; Scelionidae.